UAGAAAAUAAAAUUUACCAUGAUUAGAGAGUACUCAUCCAAUAUGUGCAUGGCCAUGUCCCUGAGCAAGUCAUGCAUCUUAACAGCAUUACCACCAUCAAUUCUUUCCAAUAAGCAGACAUCUUCUAGUCUAUCAAGAAUUGAGUGGCCAUUGUUCAUUUCUUUAAUUAUCCCCUCCUCGAUAAACGACCCUAUCAACUCCUCCCUUUCAAUCUUAUCACGUUCAUUAAAUAAUGCACAAUAUGCGAAGCAUUGUUGUGCUGAAUCAUCUAAACAAUCAUAACUUAAUCUUAAUAUCUGGAAUAUCUGAUCUUCCAUGUCCCAAAAAUUUGAUUCUUUCAAUCUCUUCAAUGUAAUCCUCCACUCAAAUAGGUCAUCUACUCCCUUUAAACUUUUUGCUAAUGUAAUAAUUCCCAAUGGCAAACCAGCACAUUCCCUUGCAACAUCUACAGCAAUUUGUUCCACUUCUGGAGAAAGUGGUUUGUCUUGUCCAAGCUUCUCCAUGAACAAAGUCCAAGAUUCUUCAUCAGAAAGAGGAUCCACUCUUAUAUUGUUUUGGCUAUUCAUCUGCCGACAAACCAUUUCUGAUCGAGUUGUCAUAAUGAGCUUGGAUCCUUUCAAUGGGAUAGGAAUCCCCACUUCUUGUGGCUUAAAAGAGUUCCACAAAUCAUCUAUAAUGAGAAUCCAUUUUGGUUUCUUCGCUAGUUCUUUUGCCAAUUUGACAGUUUUACUCAUAUCAUCGUCUUCGCUUGAAAUAUCUAAAUCAAGACAUUUAGCAAUGAGAUUUUGCAACUUUUUAAUAUUAAAGUCUUGAGAUAUAGUCACCCAGCAAACAUCUUGAGAAAUGCCUUGUCUUCCUAGAAGCUCAUUGCAGAUAUGUUGCAGCAUUGUUGUUUUACCAACUCCCCCCAUUCCGUAAAUGCCAAUAGUUGAGACUUCAUCAUCCAUUAACCAAGACCUUAUCACCUUCAUAUUCUGUUCAAAUGCUUGACCCACUAGCUUUGUAGAGCUGGCACUUGUGCUGGGCUGCACUAAUCUUCCACUACUGUUCUCCAUUAAUCUAGCUCGUUCUGAUGAGACGUGGGAAGGAAAAUAGGUUUAGGAUCGGUUUAUCUUGAACUCCACAAAGCAUGCAUUAUGUAAACCAAGAAAGACCAAUUGAUUGAAACUAUUAAUGAUCCUAACUCCAAAGAUUCAAACAAUAGUUCCAUGUGAAAAACAAGAUGGUCAGAUAAAAAAGAAAGAAAAAAAAGACGAUGAGGUAUACAUAAUUUACCUGGGGAGACAUUUCUGUCAAUUUUCUGAAUAAAUCCUUCACAGAUGUAUUCCACGCUACUUUCCGCUUCUGGAUGCGAACAAAUUAACUCUUCCUCUGCACCUUGUUCCCUGCCCUGAACUCCCACUUGUAUCAUUCCAUCAUCACCUGCCAAUUUAUUAAGUAUUGUAUUGCUUUGCUCCGUCAUGUUAGCUACUGGUUCUGUUUUCUCUCUAACUAUGUUCUGCACAUCAUCCAUAAUGACAUCGUUUUUUGCUGAUGGAGAACAGAGUUGAUCAUGAUAACUUCCAAGGCUAAGACACGAUAGAUCCUUUGGUGAGGAUGAAUCUCCUCGAGGCCCGUCAGCUUGAUUAAUUGAUAACUCAAUCUCUUUAUCAACGAUGCUAUCCAAACAAUCUUUGAGCGCUGUAGGGGAAAAAGCUUCUCCUUGUUGUGCCAUUUCUACAUGUCUCCCUUCAUAGUUUUGUUCUUGUGCAGAAGUUGGAAUUGCAUUAUUGACUUCGUUAUUGCUUGAACCUGCUAUAACUUUUUGUUUCUUUUCUGGAGGACCGUCAAUUGCUGCACGGGCUGCAUCUUGAACUUUUUCAGGAUCAUUCUGUAUAACGAUUCCCAUCCCCUUUCUUCUUUGGCCCUGCAGAUACAAAUAAAUAUUAAAUAAAAAAUGGAUUUUGAAUUGCUUGUCAGAAAAAGAGCCGGCUAAGUAAUCUAAAAUAAAAUAAAAAUUGAAGAAAUUCUGCUUGUUUUUAAGAUAAGUAAUUGAAGUUGAUAGCAAAAUGAACAAUUAAGAACUACCUGAUCAUUCAACAUAUAUAAUUAAGUUCUACCUGAUCAAUCAAGAAUCCCACAAUCAAAAGGGCACUUUUAUUUGGACGAAUCAAGACAAAUAGGUAAAGAAACAAAAUUAGUGGUAGAAAAACAAGAAAAGAAAGUAGAAUAUACCUUCCAAGCAAGCAAGAAAGAUGUGAACGCCAGAUGAGAUGAUUCGAUUCAAUCAGAAAAGGAAGCACAGAUCAUGAGAAAGGUUUAAGAAAUUUGGUGAGGGAAAUUGGGAAAUCAAAAAGAAAUUUUGAAAAAAUUCUGCUUGAUUUUUAAAAUAAGUAGUUGAAGUUGGUAGCAAAUGGAUUCUUAAUUUUGGAUACGCUUUGAUUUUUUCAAGGGAAAGGGGAGGAGAGGAAUUAAAAUUAAGGUUAAUUCAUUAAGAUUCAAUUAAAAGGCAGACAUAGAGAUUGAUAUGGUGAGAGCGAGAGAGGAAUUAAAACACGAUUGCUUACCCGAAAUUUAAUAUCCAAAUCAAGGGGCAAUAUCGUCUCCUACAAAGGGUAGAGUAUAAAACCAGUAAGCACCUCAACUUAAUUCGAUAUUAUAUUAUAUUAUAUUAAAGGCAGACUCAUAUCAUACCAGAACCUUUACAAAGGGACGAAGGACAUCUGUAGUGUUAGGAUGCUCCCACUUCACUACUGACUCCCACCAUUCUUCUGGACAUAUCUCAAUUCUUCUAAGAGAAGGGGGAGGAGAUGGCUGGCCAUUUUCAAGCAACGGAAGACAUAUUGGCAUCCUCUUCAGAUUCUCACAAUUUGCUAUCCCAAUUACUUCAAGAGAAUCGCAAAUCAGUUUUGCACUACAAAUGCUUUUCAGUUCUGGUAAUUUACUCAGGUACAGUUUUCUUAACCUUGGGAGUUUGAGAUGAUUCUUAUUGCUGCUGGUUUCUUCACCCAUAACCCCUUCUUCAUCUGAUCUUAUUCCACCUAUUAUCUCCUCCAUUUUCUUGCAACUACUAACUUUAAUUACUUCCAGGUUUAUGAGGCUUGGCAGCAAGAUGAAGGGGAACAACUUCUUCAUGCUCUCACAACCAGAACAAUGAAACUCUUUAAGACCAGAAAAUAUACCUUUGUCAGAUGGAGAUGGUAGUGAAGCAGAGCAGUACCAAGAAGAUGAAACCAAGCUCUCCAUGCUAUUGCAAUACCUUAUGUUGAUAACCUCCAGUUCAAUUGCAUUCUUUAUUAGAGUGGAAACAUCGCAUAAACUUUUUGCACCAUUACAUUCAUCAAUGGUCAGUUGUUGAAUGUCAUUCCAAAACGUGCUCGGAAAAUCUCCAUCUCUGUUGAUAGUGAAGUUACCCAAAACAAUUACUUUGUCUUUGUCUCCUAUAUAAUAUUUGUGAUGUAGCAGUCCUACAACAAUUCUAUAUUUUGUUAGUAAUCGGGUCUUGUCCCGAUAAUUGAGAUACUCCACGUAGUCAGAGUAACCUUCAAAAUGGCAUUCCAAAGUUUCCAACUUCCUCAAGCAUCCCACUUCCUUUCCUUUAACUGUUAUCGGAGCAUAUUGUUCUCUUUUAUUAUCUUCGGUAAGAGAAAGAAUCCACUCCUCCAAUACAAAGACUUGCAAGUGAGAGAGUUUAGGUAACAACCCACCAGGAAACUCCUUUUCACCACAUCCAUUCAUUCUAAGAUACCUCAGGUUGCAUAGACAUUCCAUGCCUUGAGGCAUCUUUUCAAGUGCCCAACUACGAGAGAAAUCUAACCUCCUCAGUGCACUGAGCUUUUCUAAUGACGGUACAUGCCUUAACAUUUUACAACCAAUGAGCUGUAAUGCAGUGAGACUCACCAAUUCAGAGAUAGAAUUAGGCAGUUUUGUGAUAUUUGUAUAAGAUAGAUCAAGAAUCUUGAGCCCAUGCAACUGGUUAAAAAAUGAAUCUGCAAUAAAUUGUAACUCUGAGUUUCUGCAUAGCAAUAGAGUUGAAAGACUGGGACACCUCGGUGAAUGCGUGGAAGGAAUUUUUUCAAUCUGGUUAUGCAUCAGUGAAACUCUAGUAAGAUUCUCUGUCCACUCCUCUGCACCCAGCACUUCUCUUAACCGUGCACCUGCUUUAACCAUGCCUUGAGAGUUCUCUUCCAGUAUUUGGAUGGCCAUAUCCCUAACCAAGUCAUGCAUCUUGACAUAUCUAUCAUCAUCAAACUCUUCCUUAGCGCUUUCCAAUAGGCAGACUCUUUCGAGUUUAUUCAGCAUCAAGUGGCCUUUGUUAAAUUCUGCCUCCCUACUCUUCAGCCCUUUUAUCACUCCCUCGUCAAUCAAAUAAGCUAUCAAAUCCUCUCUACGGAUCUUGAAGUCUUCCGGGAAUAAUGCACAGCACAAGAAGCAUUGUUGCAGUUCUGACUCCUUUAAAUGCAUAAAACUAAAUCUCAGUAUGUGGAAUACCUUUCUCAUCCAUGUCCUCCUGCCAAACUCUUGAUUGUUUCAAUUCCUCUAAAGCAUUCCUCCACUCACAUAUAUCAUCCACUCCCCUCAUGGUUCCGGCCAUUGUUUUAAUUCCAAGAGGCAAACCGGCACAUUCUCUUGCCAUAGAUUUUGCAAUUUCUUCCGCUUCUGGAGGAAUACAUCCAAGUACCUUCAUGAACAGAGCCCAAGCUUCUUCCACUGAAAGAGGCUCCACUUUGAUUGUCUUCUGGCAGACCAUCCGCUGACAAACUCCAAAUGAUCGAGUUGUAAGAAUUAGUUUGCAUCCCUUCACUUUGAUAGGAAUUCCCACCUUAUUAUAAUCAAAACAGUCCCACAAAUCAUCUAAGAUGAGAACCCACCGCUGUUUCUCAAUUAAUGCUUUUGACAGAUUUGCAGCCCUUUUCCUCUCGUUGUCUUCAUUUGAAAGAUCUAAAUGAAAGUAUUUUGCAAUAAGAUUCUGCAAUUUACAAACACUAAAAUCCUGCGAUACCGUGAUCCAGUGAACAUGAGGAAAAGUGCCAGGUUCUUGUAGAAGCUGAUUGUAGAUAUGUGUGAGCAAUGUUGUUUUGCCCGCACCCCCCAUCCCGUAAAUGCCAAUACUUGAUGAGGCUUCAUCAUUCAUUAUCCACGACCAGAUAGCAUUCUUAUUAUUUUCAAACUCUCCACCUAUUAGUUCUUCAGUUAGAAACACAUCUCGUCCGCUCUCAUCGCCAUUACGUUGAAGAACUUCAUGAGAGCUAUCUCUCACAACAGGCUGCCCAGGGUCUCCAACCAUGUUCACUAGUGGAGGACAGAGUUGAUCAUGAUAAUCUUCUUGAGGCUCAUCAUGAUUAACAAGUGGCCUCCCACGAGAACUACCUCUUACAACAGGCUGCCCAGUUACUCUCUCCAGAUGUUGCCCUUGUGCUGCCACAUUGUCGACUUCAACAUGUAAGCUAGUAGGUAAUGUAUCUCCUGGAGUCUCAUUUGUGUUGCCUGUGAGCCCUCCAGAAGAGCUAGCUCCAGCACCAGGCUGCACUACCCCUCCAGUCCCCUUCUCUAUAUCAUCCUCCAUUAAUAAAUUAUAGAUAUCAUCCCAACUUCUUCCAAGUGCGUGACCCAUUAUAUCUGGUGCUUGUGUCGUUCCUGCAUCUCCUGCCAAAUUGUCGACUUCAUUAUUGUUUUGUUCUUGUGGAGUGGUUGAAAUGGCAUUAUCGUUAACAUUGCUUGAACUUGCUAUGCUUUUAUGUCUUUUGUUGCCACCAUGCAUAGCUUGAAAAGCUGCUUCUUGAACGUCUUCAGUCACUUGUCACAAAUUGCAACACCAUGCCCUCUGACUCCUGACAAAUGCCAUUUGAUCCUCGAAAUGGAAGUAGCGCAGCAAAUUUAUAGCCACAAAAUGUACAGUGAAACGACCAUCAUCCAGCUUCUCAACAAAAUCCCAAAAUCGAUCAUUCGGUCUAGCCAUUUUUGCCGCUUUCUUCUUUGGCCCUUCAAAUAUCAAAUAAAAAUUGUCAAAAGUAACGCAUAAAAAUGGAUGUUGAAUUAAUUGGAAAAUAAGAACUCAAUCAUAAAAUGAAAAUUUAGAGGAAAUCAUUAUUUUUUUAUAAAUAAGAAAGCAAAGGAAGAGAGUGCAUACCUCAAUCUUACAAAGCAGUGCCCUUCAAAGAAAGAAGCCCAGAAGCAAAGGCAGCGAGUACAAAUGCUACAGUUUGUCAACAACCAGCAAACAUCCCAUAUAUAUAAAUAAACUGAAGCUGUAAAACAAAGCAUGUAAAAUUAAAUCAAUCAUUACAAAUUCUGAAAUUAAAUAGGCAGGCACUUAACUGUAUAUUUUCCUAUAGAGAUGUACUUUAAGCAGAUAAAAAAUUAUAACAAAUAUUGAAUAAUUUAAAUAAUUGUCAGAAAAGCAAUCUAAAAUAAAACUUUGGAAGAAAUUCUGCUUGUUUUGAAGAUAAAUAGUUGAGUUUGAUGGCAAAAUGAACAUGUAAGAACAAAGCUAUAAUAUGAGUUUUGAGUUCUAAAAUAGAUUAAGCAACACAUAUCUAAUAUUUAAGUUCUACCAGAUUGAUCAAUCGACAAUCCUACUUAUUAUUUCUGCAACCAAAUGGGCAAAUCUUAUUUGAAACAAAGUUAGUGGUAGAAAAACAAGAAAAGAAAAUAGGAUUUACCUUGCAAGCAAGAAAUAUACAGAUCAAGAACACAAUAUGAGAUGAUUCGAUUCAAUCAGAAAAAGGAAGCACAGAUCAUGAGAAAGGUUUAAGAAAUUUGGUGAGGGAAAUUAGGAAGUCAAUGGUAUACUGAGAGAGAUCAAGCAGAAGACAAUGUCAUUUUUGCAGUAGCUGGCUACCAUGAUAGUAUUAAUUAUUGUAUCUUUUAAUAAGAAGGAAGCAGCAGCUUUCCUACCAAAUAUUAUAUUAUAAGAUAUAGCAAGUUGCUUUUAACCUUUAAUUAUAUGCAAGUGCUGCCUUUUGCUUUCACUUUUGAAUUUCUCAAGUCAUUCAGAUUGAAUGCAAUUCUUAUCCAACAAAAUCCCAAAAUGGAUCCCUCUGUCUAGCCAUUUUCACCACUUUCUUCUUUGGCCCUUCAAACAUCAAAUAAAAAAAUUGUCAAAAGUAAGGCAUAAAAAUGGAUGUUGAAUUAAUUGGAAAAUAAGAACUCAAUCUUAAAAUGAAAAUUUAGAGGAAAUCAUUAUUUUUUAAAUAAGAAAGCAAAGGAACAGAGUGCAAACCUCAAAUAUCUUACAAAACAUUAAUGGCGUAAGUGUGUUCACAAAAUAAACUGAAUCUGUAUAAUUAAAUCAAUCAUUACAAAUUCUAAAAUUAAAUAGGCAGGCACUUAACUAUAUAUUUUCCUAUAGAGAUGCACUUCAAGCAGAUAAAAAAAUUAUAACAACUAUUGAAUAAUUUAAAUAAUUGUCAGAAAAGCAAUCUAAGAUAAAAAUUUGGAAGAAACUCGGCUUUUUUUGAAGAUAAGCAGUUGAAGUUGAAAGCAAAACGAACAAAGUUAUAAUAUGAGUUUGAGUUCUAUAAUGCAUAGAACUCAAACUCAUACUUUUAUUUGGAAGAAUCAAAACAACUAAUAUUAACAAUGAAUUUGGUAUGAACUCUAGAAGGCAAGGACUUUAAUAGUUUCUCAAUAAGAUUUCAACAGCUUGCGGUUUACUAAAAAAGAUUCAAAAACAAAGACAGCAACAAAAUGAAGAAGAUGAAGUAUAAACACUUUACCUGGAUUCAAAAGAAUUUUAACAAAAGAAUCUGAAGCUAAUUGCUGAGUGGGGAAACGUGUGGACGCGCCCCAAUGUUGAAACUCUGGGAAACUGAUAUGAAAAUGUAAGCACAAGAAUAUGAGAAAGAGUAGGCAAACUAGUCACCUGUCAAGCUGACAAGAGGCACUCAACAGACAAAAGAAACCUUGAGAGCAGCUGUUUUCAAGAUAAAUAGUUUAAGUUGAUGGCAAUAUGUAAGAACAAAGCUAAAUAUGAGUUUUGAGUUGUAAAAUAGAUCAAGCAACACAUAUAAUUAAGUUCUACUUGAUUGAUCAAUCUACAAUCGUACUUAUUAAUUCGACAACCAAAUGGGCAAAUCUUAUUUGAAGCAAAAUUAGUGGUAGAAAAACAAGAAAAGGAUUUACCUUUCAAGCAAGAAAGAUACAGAUCAAGAACACAAUACGCGAUGAUUCGAUUCAAUCAUAAAAAGGAAGCACAGAUCAUGAGAAGGGUUUAAGAAAUUUGGUGAGGGAAAUUAGGAAUUCAAUGGUAUACUGAGAGAGAGAUCUCUUAGUGGAAGACUAGCUAUUAAAGUCAUUGCAAUAGAAAUUGGCAGGAAGCUAGAACUUUAUGUCACUUUCUGCUUGGGCUUUCAUUGUCCUAUAUGCAAACUUAAUGCCACUUUAUGCUUUAAUUGUUCACACUAACUAUUCAACGUGUUCCCAUGACACUGCUUCAAAUCCUUGAGUCUACUGUUGUUAGAUGCUAUAACAACAGUGUUAUGUACUUUUUGUAAUUAAAAAGGCAUAACAAUUAAUGAAGAUCGAAACUCCAAAGAAAAUCACUUGGCUAGAAAUAACAGUACUCCUCGGGUCAGCUGCUAGCAUUAAACAUAAUAUAAUUUAUAUUAUUUUUUAUAGAAACUCUUCUUAGGAAAAUUACGCAUUUCCUAUAUAAGCAAAGGGAACAAUCCUAUUUUGUUGUUUUAAUUUAAUCAGUACUGCAAACUUAUUUUUAGUCUGUCAGUAACAGCUGAUCUCGUGAAGGAAAGCACAGGCAAUUAAUUGAUUAACAUGAAGGAGGACUAGAUAAUUACCCGUUUACUCUAAAGAAAUAAAACAAUAGGGCAAAUCGGUUUGCUUUCUCUGUCCUAUUAUCCUAUAUGCAAUUAUCACUCUAUUUUCUGGAAACCGCCAUGCAAAUUCUCUUGUGCUUUCAUUGUCCAAUAUGCAAUUAUUACUUCCACUUUAUUUGUUCAAAUAUGUAAUUAUUACUCCCACUGCCCAUACAAAUUUUAUGUCACUUUCAUGAAUCACCUGCUUUAUUUAUUUACACUAACUAUUCAACUUGUUUACGUACAUUAUACUGUUUCAAUCAUUGAGUCAACUGUUAGAUGCUAGAACAUUCAUGUAUUAUUUUAAUACAAAAAACCAGAGUCGCGAGAACAAUAGAUGAAGAUAGAAACUCCAAAGAAAAUCAAUUAGCCAGAAAUAUAUGCUUGUAAGAGGGGCUCGGGCCAGCAGCUAGCAUGGAUCGUAAGUUUUGACAUGGAGUCGGAACUACAUGCUUGUAAGAGUGGGCUCUGUCAUUGCUUCCCAUCUGGCACAGUUACCCCUUAGGCUUUUGCACCGGAUCUACGGAGUGAAAAAUAUACUCAGAUGAUCAAUGUCAGUUGUUAUAUGAGAUCUGGUUCUUGUAAAAGCUAAAAUAAGAUCAAAUCUUUAAAUCUUAAUUGGUCAUUCACCAUUUUUGUUAUGGUUUCGUGGUUUGAGAUUAUUGGCAAAGCAAGUUGCUUUGCAACGUGUAGGCGUGAGUCAAAGCAAGUUGCUUUUCACCUUUAAUUUUGCUUUUUUGAAAAAAACUAUAAAACCAACCCCAAUUUCGCUAGCUUUGAAAAAGGCUCAUCGAAAAAGGAAGCACGAGAAUAUAAGAGUGAAAAUUCUAAAUACUCGCCUAUCAAGCUAACCUACCCUGAGUUUUCAGGAUUGCCUUCUGAACAAGGAUUCUAAAAAUGAGGAAAAGGAAGCUAUGAUUUCAAUUAAGUGUUUAAUGUUGAAAACUUAGCAAUAUAAUCUUUAUUUAAUUGUUAGAUUUAAUUAAUUUUGUGUCAAAAAGAUAAAAAAUUUUGGGUUAUUGUAUGUGUUUUUGCACAAGUGAUCGCUGGUCAGAGACGUCUGAAUCUCAGAAUUUGGAGGAAGUGAUAGCCUAAUAGCCAUGAUCAAUAAGCACAAGUUUUGAGCAAAUAUUAGCUUCUCGUUGGGAAUUAAUAGCGUUACAUAAACAAAAGCAAAGUAGCAUUUAAUUACAAUAUCAGAAUAGAAAAAACAAAAAAACAAAAAACAUAAACAUAAAAUAAAUAUAUAUUUUACUAUAGGUUUUUAAUAAAUUUCUAUAUUUUUAAAAUAGAAAAUACAAGAAAAUAUAUUCCUUCAAUCUUCACAUCUUUUUCUAUUGUGAGACAGUAACCAACCAUUAGCCAAGAAAUUCCCUUUUUUCUUCCAUGAUGAAGAGAUAAGAAGAAGAAGCACAGAUCAGAGAAGAGUAUAGGUUAAGCUAGUUCAUUGUGAUGAGAUGUGUAAAGGAAAAUAGUUGUGUUGUUUGACAAGAAUGCAGUUGCUGGGAAGGAAGGAAGGAACAACCUUACUGAUAGUUCAUAGUUCCUUUUAAUUUUAUUUUAUAUAAUUAAAAACUUCAACAAAAGAAGGAGAAGCCAAUUAUUGAACUUGAGUGAGUUAACGUGUGGACCCACGCCCACAGCAACGGGACAGUUAACUUUACUAAUGAAGUUGACCUGUCUGUGAGUCGAUUGAAUCAGAAAAACGAUGCAAACACUGCACCAUUCUAUUAGUGUAAGCAUGAUAUUCGUCGAGAAAAUUAUUACCGACAGUUUUACCGAUAAAAUCUGUCCGUCGAUAUACUAAUUGUUUGUAAUUUUUCAUUCCGCCAUUAAUUCUGUUGAAAAUAAAAAAACUAACCAUCAAUAAAAUACCGAUACUCUUACAGACAGCCACGAACGGAAAAAAAAUUUGAACCAUUGUAUCUGGUUCUUGUAUUGUUCCUGCAUCUCCUGCCACAUUGACCCACCAGAUUUGUCGUUUCGAUCGCAUUUCUGAGAAGAGCUAGCUCCUGCAACAGGCUGCAGGGGUCACUUCAUGAUCUUUCCUCUUUUUUGCGUUGCCUUGUAAAAUGAACUCUUUUUUAUUUUUAUAAUUAAUUUGUGUCAAGUUAUUAAAAAUAUAUUUUAAUAUGAUAUGAAAAAUAUAAUAUAAAUUUAGAUUAUAAAUUUAAAUAAUAAAAUUAUAAGUAAUUUUUUAAUUUGUGUCAAGUAAUUUUUUAACUAAUUAUAUAUUGAUAAUUUUAAUUAAAAAAAUAAAUUAUAAUAAAAUAAAUAACAAUAUUAUAAUUAAUGAAUAAUUUAAAUAAAAUAAAACGGCUAGAAUUGCUUUACAUGGCAGAUGGAGGGCUCACAAGGCUGGAGCUAAGAAGUUGACACAUGGACUUCUCUUUAAUUAAACUCAACGUUUCACCUACAGAGUCAAGUUAGCCAGAAUCGGAGUGAGAUGAUAGAUGAAGAUUUACCAAGGAGAUUGAGGUAAGGUUUGUACAGGUUAAAUAUAUUCUUUAGCUUGGAGAAGGGAUAUGCUUUCUUGCAAAUACUUCCUUAGCAAGUCAGUCAACCAAUGUUUUUCUAUUCAUAUGCUUUACUUUUUGUCUAAUUGCUUCAUGUUUUUUUGCAUUUGUUUAUGUAUACUUGUCGCUUGGUAUCAUAUUUUUCUUUUGUUUUACUCUCCUCAUAUUUUUUUUUUAAUGAAACUAAUCACGGUUCGGGAUUUAUAACUGGUCCUCCCAAUAAAUAUUAAAAUCUAGUUAGCUGUAUUUUUUUAAAUGUAUUAAAAUAAAUUUUUUAAAAAUAAAAUAAUUUUUUUAUUUUAAAUUAAUUUUUUUAUAUGUUUUCAAAUUAUUUUGAUAUAUUAAUAUUAAAAUCAUUUAAAAAAAUAUUAUUUUAAUAUAUUUUAAAAAAAUACAAUUAAUAUAGUUAUACUUUCAUAAUCUAGUUAAUUUUUAAUAUAGUUAAUCUAGCUAUAUUUUAUCAGUAAAACUGUACUAGUGUUCUAAAAAGAUUCAUUGAGUUGUAAUAUUGGGUAAAAAAAACAAAUAUUUUUUAAUUAUUUUUUCACGAGGACCAAUUAAAAAAACUGAUUUAUGAAUGGGUAUAAUGGAAAUAUAAUUAAAAGUAAGCUUCUUUUUUUUUGGCUUCAUAUAAAUUUUAGUGCUAAAGAUUAUGAAAUACACACGCGUACAUAUUAAAAAAAAAAAAAAGAUAUACAACUGAAUCCAAGCCUUGUUUUGGCUUUAUAAAAACUUUUAACAUAUUGCGAUAUAUAAAGAGAUAGAAAGAGAGAAGCCUAGAAAAACAAGCAUCGAACACCACUCAGCUAUAGAAAAUCCUUUAAAUACUGGUGGAUCAUCACGACUUCCUGUAAUGAAAACACUUAAUUAAAUAAUAUGCAAAAAUUACCAUCUUGAUGAUUUAUAACCGCAUGCUGUGUUGCUUGGAAGAAUCAAUUAGCAAUGAAGAACAGAUUGGUAAAGAAAAAAAAGGAUUUAUUAAUUAAUCAACCUGCAAAAAGCGGUUCUCCAAACAUAUAUAUUAUGUCAAUCAGCAAGGAACACGGAGCUGAGAGAGAAGAAAAAGGUAGAGAGGGAAAGGAAAUGAAUUAAUUAAUGGUAGUACAGAGAGUGUUAAAGAGAGAAGAAUGCUCGCUUAAGCGAUCAGAAACGAAUAAAAAACUAAUAGCACAGAGGGAAGAAUGGCCCAAGAAAACAUUUACAAUAGAGGCGAAUAAAUCUUCUUCUUCUUCCUUUUCUUUUCAAACAUUAGUCAACAUUAGUCAAUCACGUUAACGCGUCGUAUAGCAAAAGCAAAAGAAUUCGAUGGGUUGGUAUUGUUGAGCAACUGUGGAUGAAAGGCACUCUCUUAAAGCUCUAAAAUUGAAAUUAUUGUUGUAAAUUGUAAUUGAAAAAAAAUAUUUUAACAAUAUUUUAAAAAAUUCUUGAACAACUAAUUUGUUCUAAAAAUAACAUACUAAACUAUUUACAUAUUAACAAGACCGACCUAACUAAUUAAAAAAUAAAAAAUGAAAUUGAAAAACAACUUCUAGAUUUAAUCUGCACAGUAAUCUGAACUUUCGUCGAGUUUUUUAAAUUUCAUUAUAACCUAACUAUGGAUUAAAAAUUAUAUUUAUUCUUGUAGCACAAACACUUUUUAAUACAUUCCAGGAACAAGCUGUUGAACAUUCCAUGUCAAUAACCCAGUUGUAGUUGAAACUUUGAAAACAGGGAGGUAAUUAUAUAAUUUAGAAUGCCUGUGGAAAUGCACAAAGUAACCCAGAGUAAUGGGUGUUUUAUGAAAAUAUUUUUUUUUUUUUUAAAUUUAUUUUUGAUAUUAUUACAUUAAAAUAAACAGAAUUAAUUUAAAAUAAAAAUAAAUAAUCGCUCCGAGCAUUCAGCCUUGAAAUCGUUACGCUCAGAUUUCCAUGGUUAAACAUGAGCAAGAGAGCUUCUUCAUGCACAGCCAACUUAGGGUAAACUCUGCUGGUGAUUCCAAAACUUCCAUGGGGAUUUAUCAACCUCAUCUUGCAGAGUUGAUCUGCAAUCAGAUACUAAUUACGGUGUUAGUUCAAAUUAUUUGAUAUUUAGGGCUUCUUCUACAUUUGGAUUUGUGAAAAGGUACAAGGUCAAAGCAGCAAUCACUGCAUAUAAGUAUUUGCAUAUCCUUUUCUUCCUGCAAAUAUCCUAAAAAAAUCGAGUUUGUUCUGUCAAAUCCGCCAUUGUUUUUGGGGGUGUUUAAGAGAGAGUUUUAACUAUAUUUUUUUAACCUUAUAAAUGUCGUUUUGUGAUCUAUUUAAGUAAUUAUAAACUUUUAAAGUAAUUAGUUAGCAAUGAACGAAUGACCUUUAUCCUCACCAUGAAGGUUUUUUAAGAGGGGUGGAAUGUAGCAAGCUAGGGUUCUAGCAUGGAAAUGGGUCUGCAAAACAAAAUUGAAAGAGGAAUUGGGAAAGAAGGCUGUUGAUCGGGUUGAGGCUGAGAGGGGUGUUAAUUCAGAGUUUCUCUAAGGGACGGUUAGGAUUGCUUUACAUGGCAGAUGGAUGGCUCACAAGGAAAGACCGAGUCAAGCUAACCAAAAUCUAAGACUAGAUGUCAGAACAAACGGCAGGCAUUAUGUAUUGAGUUUUCAAAUUACUCCCUACUAAUACCACUAAUUAUAUUUUUUGAGUAUAAUAAAGUUACUCUGACUUUGGUUUUGACUCUGGGUUUCAGUAAGGUUUUGUUUUGUUGGCCAGAUAAUAAUGGAGCAAGCCCAAUACAAGAAGGCAUAUCAAUCCAACAAAAAAUUAGUUUAGUUUUGUUUUGUUGGGCCAACAAAAAACCUUGCCCAAUAAACACAACGGUAAAAAUGCCACCGAUUUUGCGAUUAUUUACUUUACAACAACUGUAUAGAUCUUCACUCGGCUGGGUUAGUUUUCCUUGGGUGUUUUUAGCGUUGUCGGCUCGUAUGGAAUGCUAAAAAGGCCAAUCAAAUAUUCAAAUUCAAUGAGUAUCUUGUUGGAUUGAUAUAGUGAAAGCGACUUGAUAUAGUGAAUGCUCGUUUUAUUAGAGGAUUAUUGUUUUGUUUUUUGAUUUCUUAUUAGGUUAAGUUGUUGAUAUAGAGUAUGAGUGGUGCUCCUGCUAAAAGAUCGCAUGAAGAGGGCUGUCAUUCUUCUUCUUUGAAAUUCCCUCCUCAUGAAGAUACAGGGUUCGUAUUCUAAGCUGACAUCAGGGGUUUCAAAUGAGUACCAUCUACCAUAUGAGAUGGGUCCGGAUGUUAGGGUGGCUAAGAUUCCCAGAACUGAAUCUCGAGAUGUAGAUAGAAGAUCACCUUUGCAUUCGAUGUAUCGAAUGCUACCAUCUUCAAAUGAAUCACACGUGGAUUCUCAUUUGAAUGUUGCUCCUGAAAGCAGGCCUGAAUCAAGGGAUUCCAAGGACAGCAGAGACUACCGGAUUGAAAACCGUGACCCAAGGACUGAUGCAACAGAGGUGUAUGGAGAGGCAAGGAGGGAUUCACAAAGUGUUAAAAAUGAAAAGGAUGUGAGGUUUGAGAGUAGAGGGGAUGACAAUAAGGAAGUAAAGCAUGACAGAGAAGCUCAUAUUGAGCCGAAGAAUGACAUGAAGAUAGAAAAGGAUGGUUUUGGUGCUGCAAGUAGUCAGGUGAAUUGGAAGGAACCAAAAGAAUACCAUAGGGGAAAGAGAUAUUUGGAAUCUGCAGGUGGACAUGUGGAUCCUUGGCAUAUAUCACGUGGAAAUUCCCAAGGCCUGUUGAGAUUGGAAAGGAAGUUGUCAGUAUUGAGGAGAGGGAUCAUGCCAAAGUUCAUGAGGCAGUUGGAGAAAAUAAAGUUGAAUUGAAAGGUGAGGAUAGAUUUAAAGACAAGGAUAGGAAGAGGAAAGAUUUGAAGCACCGGGAAUGGGGAGACAGAGACAAGGAAAUAAGUGACUGAAGGGGAAGUAUGCAAGUAGGCAACAGUAGUGCUGAAGGAAACGAGUUGGUGAAGGAAGAGAGAGAAGGAGAGAGGUGGGAGUGGGAGAGGAAGGAUCUGUCAAAAGACAGGGAAAGGUUAAAAGAGAGGGAGAAGGACCACAUGAAAAUAGAAUCAGGAACUGGAGCUGAAAAGGAGGGUUUGCACAGUGAAAAGGAGUCUUUGGAUGGAUCUUUGAAAUUGCAACUGAAAGGGAAAGAGGAGUUUUUAACUGUGGAGUCCAGCAGCGCAAGAGGAUGCUUCGGCCUAGGGGCAGCCCGCAAGUGGCAAAUUGUGAACCCCGUUUUAGGUCCCAUACUCAAGACUCUGAGGGGUAUGUUCUUCAAUUCUUCUUAAUUGCUGUUUUAAUUGGAAGUAUGUUAUCCUUAUGAUUGAUUUUGGAUAUUGACAAUUACCGUGUGGAAAACUUGCUUUAAAUAUUUGAUAUGAAAGUGGAAACUGCUAUUAUUGGAGCUAAGUCCUGAGAUUUAUCCUACAAUGAUAGUUUCUAAAGAUAAAAUACUUUAUUGUUGCUGAACCUUUAACCAAAUUUUCCAUUGUCAUGAAUUCUUUAGCAUGUUUGUUCUCUUAGAUUGGUUAAAUUGAGCAUCAUUCCAACUUUAAUAAUUCAAGAGUAAACUAUAGUCUAAAUUCAUCCUAACCAAGCUCCUUUAUAUCUUGCAGAUGUCAAGGUAAGCUGCCAUUUCCAUUUUACGAAGCUGGAAAUUUAUUCGUGUGCUAUGUCUAAUGGGUUGCAUGAAGGGAUCUCCUUCAGAGUACUGAUUGGAAUGCUUAAACUGAAAUUAUUAGCUAUCACUGCUUAAUUAGAUUAUUAUUUAAUUCUUCUUUUCCACUCUCCUAAGCAUUGGAUAUGCCGAAUGAGGUUAGCUUCAUAUUCCCUUUUCCCUUUCUUUUCUUCAUUGUCUGUAUAAUAUUUUCUGAGCUUCUAUUAAUUGGUAGUUUCUUGCCUUUUAGGUUUCUUUUGUCAUAACAAAUGUGUAGAUUGUCAACAUUCGUGUCUCUGUGUCAUAAAUUACUCUAUUAGUAAACAUAUUAGAGCUGCUUGAUGGAUAAAAUAAAACUUGAUAACAUCGUAGUUCACAAGUUCUUGAUUUUCUUUUAUGGUAUUGAAUUUACCUUCUGGUGCUCCAGGCAAAUCUGAGGUAUCUUCUGUCAUUUAUAAGUAAGUGAAUGCAUGCAAGAGCUGAUAAAAUUAUGGAAGGAGUAUGAAACAUCUCAAUCUGAUAAAAAUAGUGAAAGCAGUCAAAAGGCCCACUCUGAAAUUCGAAUACCAGCUAACAUAUUACUGCUACAAAUCGCCAAGUAGAGCAUGCUGGUGUUUGUAAUAAUUUGACACUUUGCUUGUUUUAUCAUAUAAUUUCUUCUCUCAUGUGUCUUUUUUUCUUUCCUUUUUUAAUGUUUUCUUAAACUAUCUUGAAUGUAUAUCUCUUGGCUCAUGGGCUUGCACAAAUGCUAAGGGGGUCAGAGGUGAGGAUAGUUAUUGAUAUCUCUUGAGCUGUGGACUCCCCAUUACGUCAUCUGAUUGUUGUUUGUUUGACCAUGCCUUUCUAUCUUACCACAAGAUAUUGAUUCUUCUGUGUGGAGCUUGUGGGAAAUUCUAAUGCAUUGGGUCAGAACUUUUAAUUGCCAGUAUUAUCCAAGGAUGAUUACAUACUGCAUGCUUCUAAAAAAAAAAAAAAAUGCUAAGUUAUUAAACCUAAAAUGUAUCAGCUCAUUUAAUUUAUUAGUUCCAAGUCAUUCAAAGACUCAGAAGUUUAAAAGGUUGAAAAAAUUCAAUAUUGCUAUUUUGAUCAUUGUAAUGACACAAGAAUUAUAAUACUUAAAGCUAUCAUCUAACUACUGAAACCAGAUUCUCCUGGGUUAAUAAAAAGUAAUAAUUCUUCUAAUAUGAAAAUUGCUGUUGUCACUUCCCUUUCUAUUAUGAAAAUUUAAUUUUUAAUUGGUUUAAGUUUGAUUUACCAAAGGUUUGUCGUUCAUGAACUCUAUCCGUUGAAAUAAAUUACUAUUUUUAAUUUCUUGUUUUAGUUGCUUGUAAUAUUCAAUGAAUUGAAAUAUUUGAAUUGUGAAUAGUAAGGUUCUAACAACCAAUGGAAUUUCCAUUAGCUUCCUUAAAAAGUUUCAAACCUUUCCACAUUGUCUGAAUAAGGGUUUCUUCAUAGUCUGAUUCUUAUUAGUUUGAUUACGUGAAUUUAACUAGCCUUUAUCUAAAAGUUUUGGAAGGUUUAGAAUUGAAUGAUGAGAUCGGUUGUGUGGGGUUUGGUUCCUUCUAUAUGUUUAUGUGUGUUUUGUGUCCAAACCGAAUUUUUGAAAGAAAUGGAAGUUCUUAAAUAUUUAAGGUCAAUUUUGUUGGUAGAUAAGUUCUAUGAUAUGUGGGUGCCUUUUAUGUUCUGAUGUGUACAAAUUUUUACUGUGAAUCGUCAGAUGGUCAACUUUCAUUAGAAGAGAAGAAACCUCUAUAAGAGCAAUUAUGUGACAUGCUAGCUCUAAUAUUACAGGAUUUCUGCUCUGCAUAGUUUGAUGUCUUCAUGUUUGGAUAUUAACUAUUAGAUAAGUAUGCCCAUGCUAAGUCUUUAAGUUUAUAAGUGCAGGUAAGAGGUGGACAAUUAUGGGGGACAGAUAUAUAUACAAAUGACUCUGAUCUUGUCGCUGGUAUGCUGUGAUAUGAUGAACAGUAACAAUUGUAGAAAUUUUUUAUAUGUGAGCUGAAACAAUAUUGAUGUUGCAAUUUGUUGCAGUUCUCAUGCAUACAGGCUACUUCCGUCCCACUGCUUCUCCUCCUCCACCUUCCAUCCAAGAGUUAUGUGCUACUAUAAGAGUGUUGCCUUCACAAGAUAGUAAGCCCCUUCUAUGUCGCUCUCUUUAUGAUGCAUCUUGACAACACUACCACCAUCAAUUCUUUCCAAUAAGCAGACAUUUUUUAGUCUAUCAAGAAUUGAGUGGCCAUUGUCAAGUGCUGCUUGCCUGCUCAUUUCCUUAAUUGUCCCCUCCUUGAUAAAAGACUCUAUAAACACCCUCUUUUCAAUCUUAUGACGUUCAUUAAAUAAUGCACAAUAUAUAAAACAUUGUUGUACUGAAUCAUCUAAACAAUCAUAACUCAAUCUUAAUAUCUAGAACAUAUGAUCUUCCAUGUCCCAAAAAUUUGAUUCUUUCAAUCUCUUUAAUGUAAUCCUCCACUUAUGUAGGUCAUCCACUCCCUUUAAACUUUCUGUUAAUGUAACAAUUCGCAAUGGCAAACAAGCAUCUACAGCAAUUCAUUCCACUUAUGGAAAAAGUGGUCUGUUAGAUGAUUUGUGGAACUCUUUUGAGCCACAAGAAGUGGAGAUUCCUAUCCCAUUGAAAGGAUCGAAGCUCAUUAUGACAACUCGAUCAGAAAUGGUUUGUCGGUAGAUGAAUAGCCGAAACAACAUAAGAGUGGAUACUCUUUCUGAUGAAGAAUCCUGGACUUUGUUCACGGAGAAGGUUGGACAUAACAUACCACUUUCUCCAUAAGUGGAAUGAAUUGCUGUAGAUGCUGCAAGGGAAUGUGCCAUUGCGAAUUGUUACAUUAACAGAAAGUUUGAAGGGAGUGGAUGACCUACAUGUUAGGAAAUGAAGUAUUCCUGUAUAUAGAAUAGCAGAGUUGUAUAAAAUAGAAGAUAUGUAUUAAUUCACUUUCCAUAUGUAAUUCCUAACGUGUAGCUGAUGAAGCUACAAUGCAGCAACUGAUUCCUGACUUGUAGGAAUCAGUUGCAGCCUCCUUCUGUAUAAGAAUAUGAUUCAGAAUCAAAUACAAUCACUUCCGCAAAUUCAAUCUUUCUCUUCAUUCUUUUCAUGGUAUCAGAGCUGGCUUAGAAUCCCGAUCCUUCAUUGCAAUUAAAUCUCUAGCCUAGCAAUUUUUCUUUAGUCACCAUGGCCAACAAUGAAAUAUCAUCAGAUCUAGAAACUCAUACAGAUUUUUCAAAAGGGACUCUGUCAAAUCCCUAUUUCACUCACCAUUCAGAUCAUCCAGGUUUGGUUUUGAUUUCCAAACCCUUGAAUGGAGACAACUAUUCUACUUGGAAAAGGGCUAUGACCCUGGCGUUGAAUUCUAAAAACAAACUCAGCUUUGUUAAUGGCUCAAUAAAAGCCCCUUCAGAAGAAACUGAUCCUGAAGGAUAUGCGGCUUGGUCUCGAUGCAAUGAUAUGGUCCAUUCAUGGAUUAUUAACACUCUCAAUCCAGAAAUUUCGGAUAGCGUGAUAUGCUACUCUACUGCUCAUGAAGUUUGGGAAGACCUUCAUGAUCGAUUUUCUCAAAGCAAUGCACCCCGUAUGUUUGAAAUUCAGCGAUAUAUCGCUUGUUUCAGGCAGGAACAACUCUCUGUUUCAAUUUAUUACACAAAAUUGAAGGGACUGUGGGAUGAACUGGCUUCCUACAGUGAAUCAUUACAUGGGGCGCAACAGGAUCAACAAAGAUUAAUGCAAUUUUUGAUGGGUUUAAAUGAGUCUUACAGUGCUGUUCGUGGACAAGUCCUCUUGAUGAAUCCCCUUCCUUCGGUUCGGCAAGCUUAUUCCUUUGUCUCUCAAGAAGAAAAGCAACGUCUUCUAAGUUCAACACACACCAUCAAUGAUUCAGUCAACAACGCAGCUAUGGCGGUUCAAGGCAAUCACAACAAAUUUAAUGACAGAGGUGAGCGUUCUUACCAUUCUUUUAGAUCGCAAGAUAGAUUGACAGAUAAUAUCAAUGGAGGGCGCAGAUCUGAACAGCAAGACAGAGAUCAUUUCAGUGGACGCCGGUUUGAACAGGACAGACGACGUUUUGGACCUCGACGGGGACGACCUCAUUGUUCCCACUGUGGAGAACCGGGACAUUGGGUCCAAACCUGUUAUGAGCUCCACGGGUAUCCAGCAGGGCACCCCAAGGCAAAGCACAAUUCAGCAAGAAGAUUUAACCACAGCAACAAAUCGAAGACAAUUUUUAAUGGCAAGCCUGCAGCCAACCAUGUGUCGGAGAAUUUUGCUAAAGAUAAUGGCAAGUCUGUUGUGGGCAUUUUGGAGGCACAAUUGAAACAACUCUUAUCUUUGCUUAAUGAUAAAGGAGCCGAAUCCAGUUCUCAAGCCAAUGCUGUGACAAAACCAGGUUUGCCUAAAAUUGCUUCACGCAAUUGGAUUAUUGACAGCGGGGCAACAGACCAUAUUUCUUCAUCAUCUCAAUUAUUUUUUCCACAAGAUAAUAAUUGCACAUUGCCUCCUGUAUUACUGCCUAGUGGGGAAACAGCCGAUAUUGUUAAAAAGGGAUCAUUGCCUCUGAAUUCAACUUAUUAUUUGCAUGAUGUGCUAUGUGUACCCACAUUUAAAGUUGACUUGAUGUCAGUCAGUCGUUUGACAAGAGGAUUGAAUUGUUCGGUAACUUUUUUCCCUUAUUGGUGUAUUUUGCAGGAUCUGGCUACGAGGAGGAUGAUUGGUUUGGGUAAACAACGUGAUGGGCUAUACUACUUGGUGGCAAUUGCGACGAAGAAACCUGUGGUACGACCUACCCCACCAAUACAUCGACCAGCCUGUAACCUGGCCAUCUCAUCUACCGAUCUCUGGCAUCAACGCUUAGGCCAUAUUUCCCCUCAUCGUUUGAGUUUCAUUGCCCAACAAUUUUUAAAUUUUUCUGUUCAAUCCAGUCAUGUUUGUUCUAUUUGUCCUUUGGCUAAGCAAAGUCGCUUGCCUUUCAAUUCUAGUGUCAUUUCAUCUAUAAAACCUUUUGAAAUAAUUCAUUGUGACAUUUGGGGUCGUUAUCGACAUCCUUCCAUUUCUGGUGCUUAUUAUUUCCUUACUAUCGUUGAUGAUUAUACCCGUUUCACAUGGAUAUUUUUGAUGCGACACAAAUCUGAAGCUCAAUCUCUUAUCAAACGCUUCUUCAGUUAUGUUCUCACACAAUUUGAAUCUUCAAUUAAAAUUUUCCGAAGUGAUAAUGGUGGUGAAUUUAUAUCACUUCGUUCCUUUUUUCAAGAUAAUGGUGUUAUUUUUCAGCAUUCCUGUGUUUACACGCCUCAACAAAAUGGGGUUGUGGAACGCAAACAUCGUCAUAUUUUACAAGUUGCUCGAGCUUUGAAAUUUCAAGCUCAACUUCCAACCCAGUUUUGGGGAGACUGUGCUCUCACUGCUGUUCACAUCAUCAAUCGACUCCCUUCCUCCGUACUCUCCUUCAAAACUCCAUUUGAACUUCUCUACUCAAAGCCACCUUCUUUUUCUCAUAUUCGGGUUUUUGGUUGCUUGGCUUAUGCUACAAAUGUACGUCCUGCUCACAAAUUUGAUUUUCGCUCCAUGCCCUCAAUUUUUAUUGGUUAUCCUGUUGGUCAAAAGGCUUAUAAACUAUUUGAUUUAUCUUCUAAAAAAAUUUUCACUAGUCGCGAUGUGCGAUUUCAUGAAAAUAUUUUUCCUUAUGCCUCGGUCAAACCCGAUUUCCUUCCACCUCCACCCGUUGAAUUUGGUCCUAUUCCCCUGUUAAAUCCUGCCACAACUUCUCUUUAUUCCAUUCCCCACACUUCUCCUCCUAUUACUUUACCUGCAACUUCAUGUUCCCCCCACCCGCCCCCACAAAUUCCCCAUCAACCCAACAUCCACCCAUCCUUCGCACCUAUACCCGUCGCCCCAGACCCUCUGACCCAAUCCCUCCAGCUGCCCCAUCUCCAUCAUGCACUUCCCCAACUCUUUUGCCAUUAUCUCCUGCUGUUGAAAAUCCACAGCCACCCGAACCCACCCCACUUCGUCGCUCCAGUCGCCAUACUGCUCCACCCGCUAGGCUCAAUGAUUUUAUCUGCUCCACUGUUUCCUCCAACCAAUCAGCCACCUUGUUGCCAGGUCCAACCAAAGGUACGCGUUAUCCCAUGGCAAACUUUGUCUCAUAUCAUCGUUACACUCCUGCAUAUCAUGCUUAUGUUGCUCAACUCAGCACCGUUCCAGAGCCUAAGUCUUAUGCAGAGGCUGUUGUACAUCCUGAGUGGCAGCAGGCCAUGCGCACCGAACUGAAUGCUCUUGAAACUAAUGGCACCUGGUCUCUCACGACACUUCCAUCAGGCAAGAAGCCGAUUGGCUGCAGAUGGGUUUACAAAGUUAAACACCAUUCAGAUGGUUCUGUCGAGCGCUACAAAGCUCGUUUAGUUGCCCAAGGCUUCACUCAAAUGCAAGGGGUCGACUACCAUGAUACCUUUUCUCCUACUGCAAAAAUAAUCUCUGUUCGUUGUUUACUUGCUUUAACAGCAGCUCACGGUUGGUCCCUGCACCAGAUGGACGUCCACAAUGCGUUCCUUCAUGGCAGCUUAGAUGAGGAGAUAUACAUGUCUCUGCCACCAGGUCUUCGGCGCCAGGGGGAGGAUCAUCUAGUUUGUCGCCUCCACAAGUCACUUUACGGUUUAAAGCAGGCAUCCCGCCAGUGGUUUGCCAAAUUUUUCGAAGCUAUGCAUUCUGCUGGUUUUAUACAAUCAAGAGCAGAUUAUUCUCUAUUCACCAAGAAGCAGGGUAUGUCUUUUACUAUCCUCUUGAUAUACGUUGAUGAUAUAUUGAUCACUGGAAAUGAUCCGGGUAACAUUGCUGCAACUAAACAAUUCCUGCAUACACAUUUUCAUAUCAAAGAUCUUGGUGACUUAAAGUACUUUCUUGGAAUUGAGGUGUCUACUUCAAAGAAUGGAAUUUUUAUUUCACAACGUAAGUAUGCACUGGAAGUCAUUGAGGAUGCAGGUUUGUCAGGUGCUGCUCCUAUUAAUACUCCUAUGGAACGAGGCUUAAAAUUGUCGGACAAGGGCAACCUGCUCAAGGAUACAAACCGAUAUAGAAGAUUGGUGGGUCGGUUGAUUUAUUUGACUGUAUCUAGACCGGACAUAACAUAUGCUGUACAUGUCUUAAGUAGAUUUAUGCAGCAGCCCCGAAAACUUCAUAUGGAAGCAGCUCUUCGAGUUGUUCGAUAUCUAAAAGGAGCACCCGGCAGAGGCCUAUUUUUCUCUUCCAAGAGUGACUUAAGGUUGAGAGCUUAUUGUGACUCAGAUUGGGCUGGUUGUCCGCUCACUAGGAGAUCUACAACGGGCUAUUGUGUUUUUCUUGGACCUUCACUGAUAUCCUGGAGGUCGAAGCGGCAGAAAACGGUUUCGCUUUCUUCUGCUGAAGCAGAAUACCGAGCAAUGACAGGAGCCUGUUGUGAGUUGACAUGGUUGCGAUGUCUACUAAAAGACUUGGGAAUUUCACACCAUGAAUCUGCCUUACUAUAUUGUGACAAUAAAGCUGCGUUACAUAUUGCAGUCAAUCCAGUGUUUCAUGAGAGAACUAGGCACAUUGAAAUGGACUGUCAUUACAUCCGCGACAAGAUUCAAGAUGGUUCUAUCACUACAAAGCAUGUCGAUUCUGCACAUCAACUAGCAGAUGUCUUGACUAAGCCCUUGGGAAAAGAGAUCUUUGUUCCUAUGGUUCGCAAGUUAGGAGUGCAGGAUAUCCACUCUCCAACUUGAUGGGGAGUGUUAGGAAAUGAAGUAUUCCUGUAUAUAGAAUAGCAGAGUUGUAUAAAAUAGAAGAUAUGUAUUAAUUCACUUUCCAUAUGUAAUUCCUAACGUGUAGCUGAUGAAGCUACAAUGCAGCAACUGAUUCCUGACUUGUAGGAAUCAGUUGCAGCCUCCUUCUGUAUAAGAAUAUGAUUCAGAAUCAAAUAUAAUCACUUCCGCAAAUUCAAUCUUUCUCUUCAUUCUUUUCACUACAUGAGUGGAGGAUUACAUUGAAGAGAUUGAAAGAAUCAAAUUUGUGGAACAUGAAAGAUCAGAUGUUCCAGAUAUUAAGAUUGAGUUAUGAUUGUUUAGAUGAUUCAGUACAACAAUGUUUUGUAUAUUGUGCAUUAUUUGAUGAACAUCAUAAGAUUGAAAAUGGAGUGUUUAUAGAGUCUUUUAUCAAGGAAGGGACAAUUAAGGAAAUGAGCAGGCAAACAACACUUGACAAUGGCCACUCAAUUCUUGAUAGACUAGAAAAUGUUUGCUUAUUGGAAAGAAUUGAUGGUGGUAGUGUUGUAAAGAUGCAUAAGUUGCUUAGGGACAUGGUCAUCCAAAUACUAGAUGAGUACUCUCUAGUCAUGGUAAAUUUUACUUUCUAUCAUCCUUUUUUUUUGUUUUGUUUUGUUUUUCUGUAGUUUAACCUCUAAUUUUGUUUCUUAACGUAUUUGUUUUUAUUCUUCUAAAUCAAAGUGCUUUUUGGUUAUAUUAACAUCAAUGACCAAGUUGUAGAAUUUGUAGGCAAGAUUCUAUAUUGAUCAGGUAGAACUUAUUUAUUUAUAUUGUUUAAUGAAUCACAUAACUCAACUCAUAUUAUAGUUUUUUUUACUUCGUUGUUAUCUUCAACUACUUAUCUUUAAAACAAGGAGAAUUUUUUUAAAAUCUUUAUUUUAGAUUACUUGGCAGGUUAUUUUUUCUGAAAAUUACUUCAAAAUCAAUGUUUAUUUGUAUUUGCAGGGCUAAAGAAGUAGAAGAGGAUGAAAUCAGGACAGACUUUGCUGAUGACAAACUUAAUUAUAGAGAUUUCAUCUGUAGGUUUUUUUAUCAACUGGGUUAUGCAUUGUAUAUGGAUAUGCUCAUCAGAAGAAAGAUAAUCCAAUCAAGAUGUGUCAUUUUCUUAUUGUUUAUGUGUGCCUAUUCAUAAGCAUUUCUUGCACUCUUUUGCCUAAAAAAGAGAGCAAGACAACCAAAUUCUCUUGAUUUAAAAUAACCAGUAAAAGAACUAGAUUAUAUUUCAUAUUAAGUCUUCAACUCUAAAACUAUUGAUGAUGAUCACCAGAUAAUAAGUCAUGUUCACUUUUUUUUAGCUCAAAAGUCCUUAGACAAUCCAGCGUGUAAAAACAUACAACAUGCUCUUUUCAAAAAUUUCGUUUUAAUAUGUUUUGCAACCAUAUUUUGUUGUGUUGUAUACUUGACAGUGCGAUGUCUAGCAAUUCUUUUAUACUUGAAGAAUUCAUCGAAUUAACUUAUCUGAUCUGAAUAAAAUUCCAAACCAUUGUCAGUUCCAUAUAAAUUAAUUUUCUCCAAAAUUUUAAUUGAAUGUUAAAAUUAACAAAAGAUAAUUGGUACUCAUUAUUUCCUCAAUUAUAACACACCUAUGUUAAAAAAUAAAAUUUAAUUUCAUCAAAUGACAAACAAAAUCAAUUUAUUACAAAUCUCAAACAAACCCUAACAUACAAAUCAUGCAUUAAUACAAUAAAAUUAUCUAGGGAAAAGCUGUAAAACACUUAAAUAUACAAGAAAAAAAUAAAUACUAGAAACAGAUUUUAAUGAAUUAACUUAGAACAUAAAUGGGUUAAAAAAAUGAGCAGGUUUACUAACUUGGUGGUGUAAAAUUUGAUAAAAAAAUAAAACCAAGAGAACAAAGAUGAUGUUAUUGACAAAAGGUUGUCGACAUUGGCAGGUUAAGUGGUUGGAUUUGCAAGAGAGAUGCUGAAAUUUGAAGAGAUUUGAAGAGGAGGAUGAUAUUGUGUUUUUAGCAAAUGAAGAAGAAGAAAUGGGAUGAAGAGAGAAGGAUGGGGUUUUAAUUCAUUUAAAUCAUUGAUGGAAAUUCCAUCAGUAAUACCGACGUGUCAAGUUCCUGAUGGAAAUUUAAUUGAUUUUUAUUUUUUAUUUUUUGGUCACUAUUUUCAUUAGAAAUUUCUAAUGAAAUAUUUAUCUGUGUUUUCAUUAUUUUAUGUCAAUUUUGUGAUAGUGAAAGACACAAGGGGUAUGUAGCACUCAUGAUCUGAUGAAAGCACGUUUGACCCAAGUUCUUUUACAAAUCCAAAUGUAGAACAACUCUUCUAGAUGAGGUCGAUAAAACAACAUAGGAGCUUUUGUAUCACCACCAUAGUUUACCCUAAGAUGGCCAUCCAUGAGGAAGCUCACUUGUCAAUAUUGAACAAUGGAAAUCAGAGCGUAACGAUUUCAAGGCUGAAUGCGUGGAGCAUGAACAAAGCCCAAAUCAAUUGCAAAGAAAACUUCAUUUCACAAGGCAUCGCAUCAGAGAGGAAAGAGCGUGAGAUGACCUCUGUUGUGCGGGUGGUUUGUGUUAUUUUUUCAUUAUUUAUAAAAAACCAACAUUAUUUUCAAAUUAAUAAAAUAAUUAAUAAUCACUCCUAAAACAACAUUGAAAAUAAAACUAAUCUACAUGGACCAAAACUAAUAUAAUAAUAUUUGCUAAAAAAGUGGCAAGUUUUAUUACAUUGACAUCUAGCAUAUUCUAUUUUUUAUAUUUUGUUCAAUUUAAAUUUAUUAUUUAUAUUUUUAUGCGCCUUAUAUUUAUGUUAUUUUUUUAGUUAAAUUUUAUUAUGUUAAUCAUAUACAUUGUAUCUUUAUUGAAUCUUGAAUUUAAAUUUAUUAUUUCACUUUCUUAUGUGCUCUUUAUUUAUGAAUUGACUGACAGGUAGACACUUGUGAACAAAAACAUCUCAACUCAUAGGUCUCUGGUCUGUAAUAUUAAUUGAGUGAGCUUCUGCAAGUUUCGAACUUAUCAUAUAUAAACAGGUGUAUGAAAAGAUGUAUUAAAAAAUAAUAUAAAUCAUAUAUUAAAAUAUUGUUUAAUACCUAAUAGCUAAAGUUAUUAAGUUAGAUGGUUCUUUGUCAAACAAGAUAUUUAACUAUUAAAUUAAACUAAAAUUUUACAAGAUAAUUCUAUUAUGCCACUUAUCAGUAUUAAUGGUAAUUAGACUAAUAAGACAAUACAAGUGUCGAUGGAAUCAAAUCAAGAUAAACAAGGAAGGUGUCAUGAUCAUACUAACAUGGAAACAAACCAAUCCUUUGCUAACAAGGAAGGUUACAUUGGAGGACAUCAUGGAAACAAGACAAAAACAAAAAGAGAGGUUGGUUGACAUUAUGGAAACUAACCAAUUUCUUGCUAACAAGGAAGGUUACGUUGGAGGACAUCAUGGAAACAAAACAAGACAGAAACAGAGAUGAUUAUGGAAACAAAUUAACUGCAGCAGUGUUGCAGCAUUGACACAUUAGGUAGAUGCUAUUGAAGAAUUUUAUUGUUGUAUAUUCACGUUGGACUAGCAAAAACAGAGAAACUUUUCUUUCCUCCGAAACUUCCUUGUCCUCUGAAAUUUUCUCUAUCAGACUAUUGGAUUUCCCAAAAUAAAACCUUGUUAUGGUCAAUUUUGUUGUUAUAUUCAAAUUUUUUUAGAUUUAUUAUUUUAAUUCGGAUUUUAAUUUCAUUUUCCUUGUACUUUUGGAUUUCUAGUUGUUUCCAUGUAGAUAUAGGUUUCUUAUAAUCUAUUUAAAUGUCUUAUAAACCUCUGUCAGGCAAACUUUAUAAACUUUAAUUUCAAAUAAAUAAAUUGUAAAUUUAAGAUUUGCAUCUACAACUUUUCUGUGAUUUCUAUGUUGUUGUUGUUUUUCAAAUAUUUACUGUGUUUUUUGUGCUUUUGCUUCCGUCUGUGUCAAAAACUUUGAUGAUCAAUCAUUUGUAAGGAAUGACAAUAAUUAGAAAACAUAUACCUGUUUUUCCUUCAGCAAAUAUGUAUUGUUGUCUUAUUUAUUGCAUCCUGGAAAUGUGCUAGAUGUCUUAUAUUGUCCACCGAGACCGAGGAGGGUUUGGGUACCAAGUUGUAAUUGUGGAAAAUUCGGGGCAAGAGUGUAAUAAGUAAAAUGAGGGUAUUUAAAUUGUGAGUGGCUUCUCCUGGAAACCAUUCAUGUCCGGCCACUGUGUGUGAGUAAACAGGGGAGGGCUUUGUCGAUUUUAUUUGGUUUCCACCAUAAACUCACUCAUUCAAACACUACGUAAGAGAGGGUAAAGGAUCAAAAGAGGGGUUUAGGAGGAAAUUGAGCUGAUAAUUGAAGUUUUCUUGGAGUUUUGAAGGGCAUAAAGUGACGGGUUGGGAGGAAAGAAUUAGAGGAAGAAGUAAACUUCUUUUCAUCAUCUUUUUCCUUCGAACUUUUUGUGUUUAAGAGGUGAAAAGCCUUGAUUCAGGCUUGGUUUGAGUUUAAUCUUGUGAAAUGGAUUCAUUUUAGGUGAUAUAUGCAUGAUGGAAGUUUGAAAUUUGUUGAAUGAAUGUUUAAAUUGAUGAUAUUGUGUAGUUUGAAAGAUAUUUAUAAGCGUGAAAUAUGAUGGGACAAUGAUUCAAUUGGAAGAAUUGAAGAGAAAAUCUACCCCAUUGAUGGGUUUCGGCCAAGACAAAAAGAAAAGGGUGAGAUUUUUAUUAUGUCGAGUACUGAUAAAAAUAAAAAAGUACAAAGCUACUAGUCAAGGGUGAGCAAAAACAAUUAAAAAACUGAUUAAACUAAAAAAACCAGAAAAAAAUAACUGAAAAAAUCAAAUCAGGAAAAAAAAUCGAUCAAACCGAUUAAAAUUUAAAGAAAACCAACCGGUUUGGUUUCAGUUUUAAGUCUGAAACCGAAAAAACAGAACAGAACCGGACCCAAACAUAAAAAAAAACUGGAAAAAAACCUGAGCCAAACCGGGAAAACCCGAACCAAAUCAAUUUUAAAAACUGGUCGGUUUGAAAUGGUUUCGAUUUUAAAAAAAAAUUAUUUUAGUUUUGUUAUUUUUUUUUAUAAAAAUCAAACCAAAUCGAAAAUGAUCACCCUAAUUCAUUCGAAUCGUCAAGAAUUCAACCAAAGCAAGAAGUAUACUUUAGCGAGAAAAAAGGAUCCCAAUAGGCUAUUGCAGAGCUGAAUGCAAUUUUCAAGAAGUCUGAGACAGAUGCUCCCAACAAGAUCAUUGUGGGCGGGUUUGCAAAUUAGACUAACAAUGUCUAUUCCAGAAAAUAGACCUUAAGAUGCAGAAUUGCAUAUGAGAUUUGAUGGCCAUUGAAAAGAAAAAAAAAAAAGUUGAAGGCAAUGGAACACAUUGACAUUCCUUAAAAAACAUGGUGGUUCUUCAAUGCUUUUAUAAUUAGAAAAAAAUGCAGGGAUUUCAUACAAAUUUGACUUUUGUGUUCCUUUUUGCUAGAAUCCCAUUAGUCUAAUGGUUCUCUGGCCUUAUUUUUAAAUCCACUCGAUUAUUUUAUAUAUAUACACACACACACCUAGUUUAUAAUGUGAUAAACUAAUGACCAUGAUGGAUAAUAAUACGUUUUGCACGAAGAUCAGCUUCUUUUUGGAAACUUUAUAAUGUCAAAUUAUAAACACUUUCAUCUUAUUAGUCCUAAAAUCAGAUCCAAAUAUAUAUGAGCUUUCAUAAUCCAAAAACAAGGCUUAUCAGUUUACUUCAAUCAAACAAGCUUGAUGUCAAUAAGGAUUAAGAAACAUGCAAAAAUGGGAAAUAUAGAAUCUGAUAUCUGGAAAUGGUACAAUUGUCCAAAUAAUCUCUAAUACUCAUUAAAGAACAAGAAAACACCAGCAAAAUUGUUUACAUCUCUUCUUUGAUCUCUUAGUAUUGGUUCAACAAUUAUUUAUGCAGUUAAUAUAUCAUUGCAAGCAAAUGAAGAUUGAGGCCAAAGCUUCACAAACAGUGCAAGAUGUUUCAGAUGAGCCUGUUAAGCAAGCUAUGCAUAAUAGUGUUGAUAAAAAUAGACUUGAAAAAUAACAUUACAGUAUUGCAAUAAAAAGAUAAAGAAGAUAAAUAAAAGCAUAAGUUGAAGUAUAAUUAUUCUAAUUUAAUUAUUUUUACCUUGAAUGUUGUAGAGAAUCUUCAUUAUCAAAAGCUGACAAAAUUCGAGUCCUUGAAACAAAAUUGUACUGCCAUUUUUUUUCUAGUUCAAAGAAAAUACCAUUGCCAAGCACUCUUCUUUUUGAUUAAUUUUGAAAUCACCACACAUAUAUAAUAAGAAAAUGACACAACUUGUUUGGAUUAUCUUUCUUCUGACGAGCAUAUCCCUACAUAAUGCAUAACCCAGUUGAUAAAAAACUACAAAUGCAAUCUCUAGAAUUAAGUUUGUCAUCAGCAAAGUUUGUCCUGAUGUCAUCAUCCUCUUCUUCUUCUUCUUCUCUAGCCCUGCAGAUACAAAUAAACAUUAAAUUAAAAAUUGAUUUUGAAGUAAUUUUUUAAAAAAUAGCCUGCCAAGUAAUCUAAAAAAAAGUUUUUAAAGAAAUUCUCCUUGUUUUAAAGGCAAGUAGUUGAAGAUAACAACAAAAUGAACAAAAUUAUAAUAUGAGUUGAGUUAUGUUAUUCAUUAAGCAACAUAAAUAAAUUAGUUUUACCUGAUCAAGAUAGAAUCCUGCCUACAAAUUCUACAACUUAGUCAUUGAUUUUAAUAUAACCAAAGAGCACUUUGAUUCAGAAGAAUCAAAAGAAAUACGUGAUGAAACAAAAUUAGUGGUUAAACUAUAUAUAAAAAAAGGAGGAUGAUAGAAAGUAAAGUUUACCAUGACUAGAGAGUACUCAUCUAGUUUUUGGAUGGCCAUGUCCCUAAGCAAGUCAUGCAUCUUGACAGCACUACCACCAUCAAUUCUUUCCAAUAAGCAGACAUUUUCUAGUCUAUCAAGAAUUGAGUGGCACUUGUCAACUGCUGCUUGGCUGUUCAUUUCUUGAAUUAUCCCCUCCUCGAUAAACGACUCUAUCAACACCUCCCUUUCAAUCUUAUGGCGUUCAUCAAAUAAUGCACAAUAUACGAAACAUUGUUGUGCUGAAUCAUCUAAACAAUCAUAACUCAAUCUUAAUAUCUGGAACAUUUGAUCUUCAAUGUCCCAAAAAUCUGAUUCUUUCAAUCUCUUCAAUGUAAUCCUCCACUCAUGUAGGUCAUCCACUCCCUUCAAACUUUCUGCUAAUGUAACAAUUCCCAAUGGCAAACCAGCACAUUCCCUUGCAACAUCUACAGCAAUUCGUUCCACUUCUGGAGAAAAUGGUUUUUCAUGUCCAAGCUUCUCCAUGAACAAAGUCCAGGAUUUUUCAUCAGAAUGAGUAUCCACUCUUAUAUUGUUUUGGCUAUUCAUCUGUCGACAUACUAUUUCUGAUCGAGUUGUGAUAAUGAGCUUGCAUCCUUUCAAUGGGAUAGGAAUCCCCACUUCUUGUGGUUCAAAAGAGUUCCACAAAUCAUCUAAAAUGAGAAUCCAUUUUUGUUUCAUCGCUAGUUCUUUUGCUAACUUGACAGCUCUAGACAGAUCAUCUUCUUUGCUUGAAAGAUCUAAAUGAAGACAUUUAGCAAUAAGAUCCUGCAAUUCUUCAAUCUUGAAACCUUGAGGCACAUUCACCCAGUAGACACUAUGAGAAAUAUCUCGUCUUUCUAGAAGCUCAUUGCGGAUAUGUUGCAGUAUUGUCGUUUUACCAACUCCCCCCAUUCCGUAAAUGCCAAUGGUUGAGACUUCAUCAUCCAUUAACCAAGACCAUAUCACCUUCACAUUCUGUUCAAAUGCUCGACCCACUAGCUUUGUAGAGCUAGCACUUGUGCUGGGCUGCACUAAUCUUCCACUACUGUUCUCCAUUAAUCUAGCUCGUUC
This 31562-nucleotide long non-coding RNA is filed under the name Populus tremula. Its description in RNAcentral is "long non-coding RNA (PTRE_LNC001740)". Lineage: Eukaryota; Viridiplantae; Streptophyta; Magnoliopsida; Malpighiales; Salicaceae. The record is from RNAcentral.